GGACCUGCCCAGUGAUAUAAUACAUUUAACGGCCGCAGUACCCUGACUGUGCAAAGGUAGCAUAAUCAUUUGCCCUAUAAUUGAGGGCUAGUAUGAAUGGUUUGACAAGAACAUAGCUGUCUCUUAUAAGAUAACUAAAAAUUAAAUUUUAGGUGAAGAUGCCUAAAUUAGACUAAAAGACGAGAAGACCCUGUUGAGCUUUAAAAACUUGAAGGUUGACUAGAAAGUUUUUUUGGUUGGGGCGACCUAGGAACAUUUAAAGCUUCUUUUAUUACUUAAAACGUUCGGUUAUGAUCCAAUAGAAUUGAUUAACGAAAUAAGCUACCACAGGGAUAAC
The sequence is a ribosomal RNA, 337 nucleotides long. It matches the Rfam family "Bacterial large subunit ribosomal RNA", at positions 1854 to 2478 of the family's 2925-position model.